This 368-nucleotide unclassified non-coding RNA is filed under the name uncultured fungus. RNAcentral's name for it is "partial contains small subunit ribosomal RNA, internal transcribed spacer 1, and 5.8S ribosomal RNA". The stretch from base 1 to 73 matches the Rfam family "Eukaryotic small subunit ribosomal RNA", at positions 1759 to 1831 of the family's 1831-position model. The record is from RNAcentral. Lineage: Eukaryota; Fungi.
GCAAACUUGGUCAUUUAGAGGAAGUAAAAGUCGUAACAAGGUAACCGUAGGUGAACCUGCGGUUGGAUCAUUAACAAAUUAAAUAUGAGGCCAGAAAGGCGGAAGCCCUUCUUGGUUUUUCAUAAACCCCAACCCUUGUGCACUAAUAUUUUUGUAUUUUUUUGGCGUAGGUGGCCGCCUUUAGUGGCCAUUAAUCUCUUUCAUAAGAGGCCUUGCCAAAAUUUGGAAUCCCUAUUAGUUUAGGGCUUCCAAUUAUUAUUAAACCCUUUAGAAAAACUUGUCUAAUAACAUUUUUUUUAAUAUAAAAAUUAUAAAAAACAACUUUUGACAACGGAUCUCUAGGCUCUCGCAUCGAUGAAGAACGCAGC